GCUGUCGCUCAGUGGUAGAGCGCUUACCUAGCACCUGUGAGGCACUGGGUUCGAUUCUCAGCACUGCA
RNAcentral lists this transfer RNA (68 nucleotides) under Marmota monax (woodchuck). Its description in RNAcentral is "tRNA.Ala". The record is from RNAcentral. Lineage: Eukaryota; Metazoa; Chordata; Mammalia; Rodentia; Sciuridae.